UCAGCUACAACCCAACCUCUGGAUUAAAGGAUCUUCAAUAUCUGUUUAGCAAGAAAAUAAUCUGUUGUCCUGGUGCAUCACAGUCACAGGUGUUACCCCCCCUUUUUGUCAAAAAUGUUGCCAAAGCAACACUUUAAAUUAUAGACCAAAAUAAACAGAAUUACUCACAAAUGACAGAACCACAAUCUUGAUUUUACUUCAUAGUUUCAAU
RNAcentral lists this long non-coding RNA (211 nucleotides) under Lathyrus oleraceus (garden pea). RNAcentral describes it as "Pisum sativum (pea) long non-coding RNA (PSAT_LNC040186)". Lineage: Eukaryota; Viridiplantae; Streptophyta; Magnoliopsida; Fabales; Fabaceae. The record is from RNAcentral.